GGGCCGUUAGCUCAGUUGGUAGAGCAGCUGACUCUUAAUCAGUAGGUCGAAGGUUCGAAUCCUUCACGGCCCACCA
RNAcentral lists this transfer RNA (76 nucleotides) under Gammaproteobacteria bacterium. RNAcentral's name for it is "tRNA-Lys". It matches the Rfam family "tRNA". Rfam says of the family: Transfer RNA (tRNA) molecules are approximately 80 nucleotides in length. Their secondary structure includes four short double-helical elements and three loops (D, anti-codon, and T loops). Lineage: Bacteria; Pseudomonadati; Pseudomonadota; Gammaproteobacteria. The record is from RNAcentral. RNAcentral also lists the same sequence under 1 other name.